UCGAGGUGGUCUUACAAAUCUCCA
RNAcentral lists this non-coding RNA (24 nucleotides) under Arabidopsis thaliana (thale cress). The record is from RNAcentral. Lineage: Eukaryota; Viridiplantae; Streptophyta; Magnoliopsida; Brassicales; Brassicaceae.